RNAcentral lists this ribosomal RNA (500 nucleotides) under uncultured bacterium. Its description in RNAcentral is "partial 16S ribosomal RNA". It matches the Rfam family "Bacterial small subunit ribosomal RNA", at positions 30 to 523 of the family's 1533-position model. The record is from RNAcentral.
AUUGAACGCUGGCGGCAUGCCUUACACAUGCAAGUCGAACGGUAACGGGUCCUUCGGGAUGCCGACGAGUGGCGAACGGGUGAGUAAUAUAUCGGAACGUGCCCAGUAGUGGGGGAAAACUGCUCGAAAGAGCAGCUAAUACCGCAUACGACCUGAGGGUGAAAGGGGGGGAUCGCAAGACCUCUCGCUAUUGGAGCGGCCGAUAUCAGAUUAGCUAGUUGGUGGGGUAAAGGCCUACCAAGGCAGCGAUCUGUAGUUGGUCUGAGAGGACGACCAGCCACACUGGGACUGAGACACGGCCCAGACUCCUACGGGAGGCAGCAGUGGGGAAUUUUGGACAAUGGGCACAAGCCUGAUCCAGCAAUGCCGCGUGCAGGAAGAAGGCCUUCGGGUUGUAAACUGCUUUUGUCAGGGAAGAAAUCUUCUGGGCUAAUACCCCGGGAGGAUGACGGUACCUGAAGAAUAAGCACCGGCUAACUACGUGCCAGCCGCCGCGGUAA